GGGUGCAUCCAGUUUCUGCGCCCAGAUUCUUCAGCUUGUUGUCUCUAACAGAGGAAGCAUUGAUUGGGAGCUACUCAUUCAGAAAAUUAAAAGAAAGAAGCCAGAAAAUAUUAUCAACCCUUUGAGAACACGACAUAACGAACUUUAUAUUUUACCACUUCCUUGAAUAGGAG
Molecule: long non-coding RNA, 173 nt
Filed under: Theropithecus gelada (gelada)
Lineage: Eukaryota; Metazoa; Chordata; Mammalia; Primates; Cercopithecidae
Description: lncRNA (ENSTGEG00000005010.1)
Source: RNAcentral